GAUGAACGCUGGCGGCGUGCCUAAUACAUGCAAGUCGAGCGAACGGACGAGAAGCUUGCUUCUCUGAUGUUAGCGGCGGACGGGUGAGUAACACGUGGAUAACCUACCUAUAAGACUGGGAUAACUUCGGGAAACCGGAGCUAAUACCGGAUAAUAUUUUGAACCGCAUGGUUCAAAAGUGAAAGACGGUCUUGCUGUCACUUAUAGAUGGAUCCGCGCUGCAUUAGCUAGUUGGUAAGGUAACGGCUUACCAAGGCAACGAUGCAUAGCCGACCUGAGAGGGUGAUCGGCCACACUGGAACUGAGACACGGUCCAGACUCCUACGGGAGGCAGCAGUAGGGAAUCUUCCGCAAUGGGCGAAAGCCUGACGGAGCAACGCCGCGUGAGUGAUGAAGGUCUUCGGAUCGUAAAACUCUGUUAUUAGGGAAGAACAUAUGUGUAAGUAACUGUGCACAUCUUGACGGUACCUAAUCAGAAAGCCACGGCUAACUACGUGCCAGCAGCCGCGGUAAUACGUAGGUGGCAAGCGUUAUCCGGAAUUAUUGGGCGUAAAGCGCGCGCAGGCGGUUUUUUAAGUCUGAUGUGAAAGCCCACGGCUCAACCGUGGAGGGUCAUUGGAAACUGGAAAACUUGAGUGCAGAAGAGGAAAGUGGAAUUCCAUGUGUAGCGGUGAAAUGCGCAGAGAUAUGGAGGAACACCAGUGGCGAGGGCGACUUUCUGGUCUGUAACUGACGCUGAUGUGCGAAAGCGUGGGGAUCAAACAGGAUUAGAUACCCUGGUAGUCCACGCCGUAAACGAUGAGUGCUAAGUGUUAGGGGGUUUCCGCCCCUUAGUGCUGCAGCUAACGCAUUAAGCACUCCGCCUGGGGAGUACGACCGCAAGGUUGAAACUCAAAGGAAUUGACGGGGACCCGCACAAGCGGUGGAGCAUGUGGUUUAAUUCGAAGCAACGCGAAGAACCUUACCAAAUCUUGACAUCCUUUGACAACUCUAGAGAUAGAGCCUUCCCCUUCGGGGGACAAAGUGACAGGUGGUGCAUGGUUGUCGUCAGCUCGUGUCGUGAGAUGUUGGGUUAAGUCCCGCAACGAGCGCAACCCUUAAGCUUAGUUGCCAUCAUUAAGUUGGGCACUCUAAGUUGACUGCCGGUGACAAACCGGAGGAAGGUGGGGAUGACGUCAAAUCAUCAUGCCCCUUAUGAUUUGGGCUACACACGUGCUACAAUGGACAAUACAAAGGGCAGCGAAACCGCGAGGUCAAGCAAAUCCCAUAAAGUUGUUCUCAGUUCGGAUUGUAGUCUGCAACUCGACUACAUGAAGCUGGAAUCGCUAGUAAUCGUAGAUCAGCAUGCUACGGUGAAUACGUUCCCGGGUCU
RNAcentral lists this ribosomal RNA (1372 nucleotides) under uncultured bacterium. Its description in RNAcentral is "bacterial SSU rRNA". It matches the Rfam family "Bacterial small subunit ribosomal RNA", at positions 28 to 1381 of the family's 1533-position model. The record is from RNAcentral.